UUUUUGUUUGUUUCAUAUAUGUAUAGUUCGUCUAUCGGGUGCUUCCAGCCGGCGUCAUCCGCGAGUAUCCCAUCUAUUCUCUCGGCCCUGAAUGAAUCAAGCUCGCGGCUGUUCGAUUCUAGGUGGUCGACAUGUGCAUGAUGGAUGCACGCAGCUGGCUGCUAACGGCAACUGCUAAUUACUCAGUCAUCCAUGGAAAUGCUCUCUGGUCAAAACUUUGGUGAAACAACACCCACCAAACACAUGUAAAACUAAGAAAACAUUGAUAUUAAGAAACUGCAGUAUUACUUGUCCAUCCAUGAAAAACUGUGGUUUUUAAUUACCACGGUUUUCUAAAAACUUUCCUGCCAAACUAAGAGUUAAGAAGUUGUAAGGAUGUUUGUUUUCAGUGGCAAGAGAAGAAGUUGACAUAGAGAAGGACGGUUGUAUGAGGCAGUGGCACCAAAUAUCCAUGUUCAUCCUUGUUCUUGAUAGAGUUGCGAGACAUGAGAGGCAACAUGAUGAAAAAGAAGAUGAGCUACGACCUAGCUCCAAGAUUCUUCUAGGCGAAGGACGCACCAGAUGUCUGUUGUCGCCACCACACAUUAAGGUUCGUCGUCCUGCAUUGAACCAACUUCAAAGUAUCAUGCGACCACCACGUGUGACUCUUCAUCAUCCCCACGUAGGGCGAGCCGUAAAAUACAGAGCACAUCCGCGGGGAGAUCCCUUAUUAGGUUGCAACCUGAUCUGAGAUCGUCGUGCUACUGUUGGGCUGCUAACCCCACUAGUAGGCUUAUUAGCUCCUCUUUCCAUUGUCGUUCAUGGAGUAACAUAGACGCAAGGGAGAUCCUUACACUCCGUAUGACUAUGCAGAAUCCCGGUCACUCUCAAUCCUAAAGCCUUAUGACCAUUUGAAGCAUAAUAUCGGGUCCAUUAAUUACACACUAUGCACUAGUGCCUUCACUCAAAUAUUGAGUUCGAUGUAUG
Molecule: long non-coding RNA, 966 nt
Filed under: Hordeum vulgare
Lineage: Eukaryota; Viridiplantae; Streptophyta; Magnoliopsida; Poales; Poaceae
Description: long non-coding RNA (HVUL_LNC008709)
Source: RNAcentral